GUUCUUAAAUGUUUAUCUUGAUUUUCAUUUUAUCCUUUUUCCUUAGCUGGGAUUCUGUCCCUGACCGUCUUCACAGUCCAGGUGAUCUUGACUACUGCUUUACAGAGAAUUGGAUCUGAGGUGUGGAAACAGGAAGAGAACUAGAACUGGAAGUAAAGCAUUGAAGAUGUGACUGAAUUGCUGCAAUCUCAUGAUCAAAUUUGAAUGGAUGAGGAGUUGCUUUUUAGGGAUGAGCAAAGAAAGUGGUUUCUCGAGAUGGAAUCUACUGGUGAAGUUGCUGUGAACAUUGUUAAAAUGCCAAUAAAGGAUUUAGGAAUUACAGAAACCUGGUUGAUAAAGCAGUGCCAGGGUGUGAGAGAGUUGACUUCAAUUUUGAAAUAAGUUCCACUGGCUGGGUGUGGUGGCUCACACCUGCAAUCCCAGUACUUUAGGAGGCCGAGACUGGUAGAUCAUUUGAGGUCAGGAGUUCAAGACCAGCCUUGCCAACAUGGUGAAACCCCACCUCUACCAAAUUAGCCAGGUUGCUCCUUGAGGGCAGGACAGUUCUUAUGGCUUUAUCCGUUGCGUAAGCACAGAGAGGUCUGCGAGGUCAAAACUAUUGUCAUGAUAGCAAGAUGCCUGUCUUUUUCAUUUAUUCUCACGGUGUGCAGAGGCUACAUGAUGUGUGAUGACAUCCUCAUUGAUGUUAAUGAAUGGUGCUAUACUUGAAUUUUCUAAGGUGUCAUUAGGUAGGUUUAGGUAUG
RNAcentral lists this long non-coding RNA (743 nucleotides) under Homo sapiens (human). RNAcentral's name for it is "non-protein coding THUMPD3-AS1:28". Lineage: Eukaryota; Metazoa; Chordata; Mammalia; Primates; Hominidae. The record is from RNAcentral.